Molecule: ribosomal RNA, 477 nt
Filed under: Metschnikowia sp. (in: budding yeasts & allies)
Lineage: Eukaryota; Fungi; Ascomycota; Pichiomycetes; Serinales; Metschnikowiaceae
Description: eukaryotic LSU rRNA
Rfam family: Eukaryotic large subunit ribosomal RNA
Source: RNAcentral
UUGAAGCGGCAAAAGCUCUAAUUUCAAAUCCCCCGGUAACUGUAGUUUGAAUAGAUUUUGGUCCGGCCGGCUGGUGAUUAAGUCCACUGUCAAAGUGGCGCCGCAAAGGGUGACAGCCCCGUGAACCCCUUCCACUCCCUCAUCCCACAUCUUUCACAGUCGAGUUUUUCGGAAAUGCAGCUCUGAUUGGGUGGUAAAUUCCAUCUAAGGCUAAAUACCGGCCAGAGACCGAUAUCUGAACAAGUACCGUGAUGGAAAGAUGAAAAGCACUUUGAAAAGAAAGUGAAAUAUUACGUGAAAUUGUUGAAAGGGAAGGGCUUGCAACAGACACUUAACUGGGCCAGCAUCGGGGCGGCUUUAAACGAAACCACCGGGGAAUGUACCUUUCCAGGAUUAUAACCCCGGUCGCCAUUUCCUUAUCGCCCCGAGGCCUGCAUUCUAAGGAUGCUGGCGUAUUGGUUGCUGGUCGCCCUGUCU